RNAcentral lists this ribosomal RNA (701 nucleotides) under uncultured bacterium. Its description in RNAcentral is "bacterial SSU rRNA". It matches the Rfam family "Bacterial small subunit ribosomal RNA", at positions 60 to 774 of the family's 1533-position model. The record is from RNAcentral.
AGUCGACGAUGACCCGGAGCUUGCUCUGGGGGAUUAGUGGCGAACGGGUGAGUAACACGUGAGUAACCUGCCCUUGACUCUGGGAUAACCUCCGGAAACGGAAGCUAAUACCGGAUACGACGUACGGAGGCAUCUCCUGUACGUGGAAAGAACUUCGGUCAAGGAUGGACUCGCGGCCUAUCAGGUAGUUGGUGAGGUAACGGCUCACCAAGCCUACGACGGGUAGCCGGCCUGAGAGGGUGACCGGCCACACUGGGACUGAGACACGGCCCAGACUCCUACGGGAGGCAGCAGUGGGGAAUAUUGCACAAUGGGCGCAAGCCUGAUGCAGCAACGCCGCGUGAGGGAUGACGGCCUUCGGGUUGUAAACCUCUUUUAGUAGGGAAGAAGCGAAAGUGUCGGUACCUGCAGAAAAAGCACCGGCUAACUACGUGCCAGCAGCCGCGGUAAUACGUAGGGUGCGAGCGUUGUCCGGAAUUAUUGGGCGUAAAGAGCUCGUAGGCGGUCUGUCGCGUCUGCUGUGAAAACCCGAGGCUCAACCUCGGGCCUGCAGUGGGUACGGGCAGACUAGAGUGCGGUAGGGGAGAAUGGAAUUCCUGGUGUAGCGGUGGAAUGCGCAGAUAUCAGGAGGAACACCGAUGGCGAAUGCAGUUCUCUGGGCCGUAACUGACGCUGAGGAGCGAAAGCGUGGGGAGCGAACA